AGAGUUUGAUCAUGGCUCAGGACGAACGCUGGCGGCGUGCUUAACACAUGCAAGUCGAGCGGAAAGGCCCUUCGGGGUACUCGAGCGGCGAACGGGUGAGUAACACGCGAGCAACCUGCCCCUGACUCUGGGAUAAGCCCGGGAAACUGGGUCUAAUACCGGAUAUGACCGCCCCUGGCAUCGGGUGGUGGUGGAAAGUUUUUCGGUUGGGGAUGGGCUCGCGGCCUAUCAGCUUGUUGGUGGGGUAGUGGCCUACCAAGGCGACGACGGGUAGCCGGCCUGAGAGGGCGACCGGCCACACUGGGACUGAGACACGGCCCAGACUCCUACGGGAGGCAGCAGUGGGGAAUAUUGCGCAAUGGGCGGAAGCCUGACGCAGCGACGCCGCGUGGGGGAUGACGGCCUUCGGGUUGUAAACCUCUUUCAGCAGGGACGAAGUUGACGUGUACCUGCAGAAGAAGCGCCGGCUAACUACGUGCCAGCAGCCGCGGUAAUACGUAGGGCGCAAGCGUUGUCCGGAAUUAUUGGGCGUAAAGAGCUCGUAGGUGGCUGGUCGCGUCUGCCGUGAAAGCCCGCAGCUUAACUGCGGGUCUGCGGUGGAUACGGGCCGGCUAGAGGUAGGUAGGGGCAAGUGGAAUUCCUGGUGUAGCGGUGAAAUGCGCAGAUAUCAGGAGGAACACCGGUGGCGAAGGCGGCUUGCUGGGCCUUACCUGACGCUGAGGAGCGAAAGCGUGGGGAGCGAACAGGAUUAGAUACCCUGGUAGUCCACGCUGUAAACGUUGGGCGCUAGGUGUGGGGGUCUUCCACGAUCUCCGUGCCGGAGCUAACGCAUUAAGCGCCCCGCCUGGGGAGUACGGCCGCAAGGCUAAAACUCAAAUGAAUUGACGG
This 888-nucleotide ribosomal RNA is filed under the name uncultured bacterium. RNAcentral's name for it is "bacterial SSU rRNA". It matches the Rfam family "Bacterial small subunit ribosomal RNA", at positions 8 to 916 of the family's 1533-position model. The record is from RNAcentral.